GGUAGCACAGAGGAGCUUGCUCCUUGGGUGACGAGUGGCGGACGGGUGAGUAAUGUCUGGGAAACUGCCCGAUGGAGGGGGAUAACUACUGGAAACGGUAGCUAAUACCGCAUAAUGUCGCAAGACCAAAGAGGGGGACCUUCGGGCCUCUUGCCAUCGGAUGUGCCCAGAUGGGAUUAGCUAGUAGGUGGGGUAACGGCUCACCUAGGCGACGAUCCCUAGCUGGUCUGAGAGGAUGACCAGCCACACUGGAACUGAGACACGGUCCAGACUCCUACGGGAGGCAGCAGUGGGGAAUAUUGCACAAUGGGCGCAAGCCUGAUGCAGCCAUGCCGCGUGUAUGAAGAAGGCCUUCGGGUUGUAAAGUACUUUCAGCGAGGAGGAAGGUGUUGAGGUUAAUAACCUCAACAAUUGACGUUACUCGCAGAAGAAGCACCGGCUAACUCCGUGCCAGCAGCCGCGGUAAUACGGAGGGUGCAAGCGUUAAUCGGAAUUACUGGGCGUAAAGCGCACGCAGGCGGUCUGUCAAGUCGGAUGUGAAAUCCCCGGGCUCAACCUGGGAACUGCAUCCGAAACUGGCAGGCUAGAGUCUUGUAGAGGGGGGUACGAAUUCCAGGUGUAGCGGCGAAAUGCGAUAGAGAUCUGGACGAAUAC
RNAcentral lists this ribosomal RNA (654 nucleotides) under Citrobacter freundii. Its description in RNAcentral is "bacterial SSU rRNA". It matches the Rfam family "Bacterial small subunit ribosomal RNA", at positions 68 to 709 of the family's 1533-position model. The record is from RNAcentral. Lineage: Bacteria; Pseudomonadati; Pseudomonadota; Gammaproteobacteria; Enterobacterales; Enterobacteriaceae.